Molecule: RNA transcript, 4112 nt
Organism: Haplochromis burtoni (Burton's mouthbrooder)
Lineage: Eukaryota; Metazoa; Chordata; Actinopteri; Cichliformes; Cichlidae
Gene: rmp64
Gene name: nucleolus and neural progenitor protein
Exons: 10
Source: RefSeq, a predicted model, not a curated record
GUAAUCAUUUGUGUUGUAAGUACUUUAGCAGAGCACACUCGGCGACUGCGGUGCCUUUAACACAGACGAUGACGUUUACGCGUGCUCGUACGCCAUUGGCUGUGGGACUUCCGGGUCGUAUUUUGUUUUUCAGGCAGACUCGAGCAUGGCCGUGGAGCUCUGGAACAGAGUCAACGUCCCUUUUCCCAGCGCCGUGUCCGCUGUCCGCGUGCCCUUCACCGCACAGACAGCUGCAGACGUUGAAACGCUGCUGACGGAGCGCGGAAAUGUGCUGAAGCUGCUCCGCAGUGAGAUGCUUCAGACGGAGGUCCGGCUGCUGUACGAGCUGCUGUACGUCCUGAACAACAGCUACCGGGGCAACAAGACGUUCAAGGCGCUGAAGCAGGUGGAGCAGUGUGUGAACCGGCUGAAGAACAUGAAGCUCGAUGCUGCUCUUCAGGAACUGUCAGAUCUGUGUCCGAACAGGAUCCAGAGGCAGCUGAGCAUCAAGGACGGCCAGUGUGUCGUUCCCAGUCAGCCCACGCUGGAGUGGAUCUGUCUCAAAGUGCUGGGGGCCGCUCGGCUGACGAGCUGCACGCUGCGUCGCUGCAGCAGAGCUUUCACACUCGCAAAGCAGCAGAUGAAGUGGGAGGAGUUUGUCAUCCUGAACGUGGUGAUAACCAGCAUGCUCAGCCGUCUGUGGGUGAUUUUCCGUGGCGUGCUGCUCGCCCUGUCCGGCCUCUACCGGCAGCUCCUGGAGCUUCUCAGAGACGUAGCCCGAGUCCAGCCCAUGCCCUUCCUCACAGACUUCUCCCUGCCAGCUGAUCUGGCUCAGUUCCUCGGUCCCUCUGAUGCUUUGUUAUUGACCAAGCCUGCGGCGCACAGCAGAGCGCGGCAGGAAAAGAAGCAGGCGGCCAAGAAGACCUGCAUGCAGAAAAGAAAGCUCAAAGAAGACCUCGGCGUUGCAGUUAUAAGAGGCGUCGGCCUCGCAGCAGACAGGAAGUCUUUUUUCAAGCUGUGCAGGACUUUCACAGAGGGCAAGUCGACGCCCAAACAAACGAGCAGAGCUGACAGGAGACACGAGUUCCAGAAACAGGUGAGAGAAGCUGCUUCUUUCUCACACGUGGAGAUCCGUGUGGACGAGAUGAUUCGCUGGUGCAAAUCCCAGAGGAUGGGAAAGGAAAAACGCCUUUUAACCUUCCUGCAGUUAAAGUGCCGGCAGAUGAAAUGCCUGGAGGCAGCGGGCUACAACGUCCAGAGGAAGCUGCAAACCUUCAAAAAGGAAGCUUGCUGGGCUUCAUCUCCAGAAGGAUCAGCGCCAAAGACCUUACGUUCGCUCGCCUCGAGGAGACGUGUCCACGGGAGAAUUCGUUUUCAUACUCUCAGGAGGUUUAUGAUGAGAGGCGGCGUAAAAAGGAAAGAGCAGGCGGGACGACAGACACGAGCUCGACUCAGCGGGGACGACCAGAGAAGCGGGACUGCACGAGAGGCGACGUGUCGGAGCACGGUCACUCACGAUGACAUCGAUGACAUUUUUGCCUCUGCAGGUCUGUGAAGCCCGAAAGCGCCGAUGUAAGGUCACAGACAGACGAACAGUCUGAGCAGGUUUGGAAGCAGAAGCUGUGCUCGCCAUGUUUAAUGUGUCUCUCAUUAAAAGCUAUAAAGCGCGGAAACAACUGAACCCCCCCAGACUAAAAGAUUCUGUUUUAAUUUGGGUACGCAUGGAACACACACUCACAGCCACUUCAUUAGGUACGCCUGUUCCAGCUGCUCGCAUGCACACGUGUAACCGCUGGUUCGCAUCAAGAUAUGCAGUAAAGCAUCUGUGGAUGCACAGCACGUCAACGGUUAAAGGUCACAGCGAGCGUCGCUGCUGAGGUCCAGCCGAGCUGGUUUCCUGAACUUGCCUGAAGGAUGUUGGCUGCAGUCUCAAAGCAGAGCCAUGAUGAAUGAACCCAACCCAGUAUUAGACACCUGAUACAGUGGAUGUGUGAAAUCAAAUGUAAGAGAAAAUAAAUUAACUGAUGGAGCUGAAAUAUGACUGUGUGAGUAGAAUGCUUAUUUAAUGAGCAUGCAGACUGAAGCCUGUGCUUAUGGUUUGAAGCAUGCAUGCAGUGGCAGCAUGUUUACGUGCUUCUUCUGUCUGUCUGAAGGAAAUUUAAAUCCGUUUGUGCAGCUGUGCCAGUUUUUAAUAAUGUUCGAAGUCACGCACUACAGAUCUGAACAAGGCUUUUACAGUAGUUGGUGUAUUUGGCUCCCCCUGGUGGGCUCGAGGAUCAGCGCACAGACAAAUUCCAGGCUCGAUUCAUCUUUGGGAAUACGGAAUAAUUCUUUCAUCCUACGGCCCGCGGCCGAAGCAGCGUGAGACGGCUCAGGUGUCAGCAGGAAGGAGUCUGUGCUGAAGGCGUCUCAGAGCCUGCAGUGGCUUCUGUUAGCAGACACACGGGCACCGGUCCUGCUCUGACACCAGCAGCCGGCACACAAGCUAAAAGGUUUGUUUUCUUACAGCCACUAUGUUUCAUCAUCACCUGCCAAAGAAGAUGGAGUCGUCCCAUCUGCACCAACGCUGCGGCUUUUAUCUCCGUCAGAGCUUCACUGGGCUGAGUUACAGUCUCACAUCAAACUGCCAGAUCUAUUUGAACACAAUACUUAACUUUCUGGGUUUGUCAGGGUCCACUCUUAUUUUUCACAGCCUGGAGGUGAGGAAGAGGUGCAGGAGGAAAAUCGUAAAGGUCUGCAUCAUGUAUGAGAGCAGAAACUGAGCUGAGGCAGAAGGAGGAAAAAAGCUGAUGGAGUAAUGGUGCCGUGCACUCCUCAACGAGGCCUGCAGUGGAACAACGAAGGCAGAAAAUCACCCAGACUGGGGAAAAAGAGAAACCAUGCAAAGUCUAAAUUUUAACGAUGUGAGCUCUGAAUAUAAACAAUAAUAUAAUUUGUGUAUAUCUCAUCUUUGCCUUUAUUUUAGAAAACUGUCUCAUAUAUCAGUUUUCUCGGAUGAAUAGAGAAUAAAGAGAAGGAUUAAAAAGUGUGAGCACAGACGGUGGUUUACAAACCUCAGUGAGAACCGGCCCAGAGAGCUCACUGACAUUUUAUUGCCACCUCCAUAAACGUGGUCUGCAAAAGUCCCCGUCGUGCAGUUUCCAUCCACUCAUUCAUUUUCUAUACACACUUUUGCAAGAGGCACAGUGCCCAUUACACUGCAAUAAAAGCUGCACUGCCUCUGCUUUAGACGAGCGUAAGGCUGCAACAUCCGCUUUAACAGGACUGAGUCUCAGCAUCACACCUGGAUUUUAUCUUCACAGCAUCGGCCAUGCAUCUUUAAAAAAAUCAUCAUCUCUGUUCUAACAAUAUGUAGGAAGACAUGGCGGUGCUGCUCCUGUGUCUCAGAAUAAAAUAUUUCUUCUACGACAGGACAGGAGAACUGACAUUUUGAGUUUCUGUAAAAGGCAAAAACAUGUCUGGGACGCUCUUUAUUCUUACUUUGGCUAAUAUUUAGCCAGAGGUCAGGGUUCACUGACAGCAGGUGGUUUUAUUGUCAUGGAACUGCUGACCUGGCAUGUCUGAGCUACAACACUUGUUCUUAAUAUUAUGUCUCAGUGGGCGUUUCUGUGAAUCACAGACUGGAGGACCAACAGUGAAGGGGAUGAGCCGACUGGACUCUGUGAGGAACCUCAGGUCCUUCCGUUUGUGCUGGAGAACUUCUGUCCGUCUGUAGCAGCAUCAGCAAACUAGUCCACCAAGCUGGAACCUCAUUGGUCAGAAUCUGGAGGUGUUUGAGUCAGUGAGGGGCCGCAGUUCACUAAACACACCGUCCUCCAUCAUGGACAAUCACAACUAGUGAUGUGCGGAUCGAUACUGAAAUAUCGAUUCCUCCGAUACCAGUCCUUUAUGUUCUAUAAUCGACUCACAACAAUGGCUGAGUGUAAUUGGAGUUACGUGCAGACGUAUUUUACCUCCACAAACAGCUGAGAUGUGGUUUGCAAUACAUGUGGCAAGACAGUGAGGUGUUGUGGCAACACCACUAACCUCGUGAAAUACGUCACAGGAAAUCAGAUCACAGAAUAUGACGAGCGUAUGUUGAGGCGAACUGAAGAGGAGGAGAGGGACAGGUGCUGCUAGGGCGAGACAGACGU